This 2182-nucleotide ribosomal RNA is filed under the name Acanthocystis nichollsi. Its description in RNAcentral is "partial 18S ribosomal RNA". It matches the Rfam family "Eukaryotic small subunit ribosomal RNA", at positions 25 to 1625 of the family's 1831-position model. Lineage: Eukaryota; Centroplasthelida; Acanthocystida; Acanthocystidae. The record is from RNAcentral.
CAUAUGCUUGUCUCAAAGAUUAAGCCAUGCAUGUCUAAGAAUAAGUCCUCAGAAUGACUAGUCUGCGAAUGGCUCAUUAAAUCAGUUAUUGUUUAUUUGAUGUGUGUAAAAGUGCAUUUAUGCAUUACAUGGAUAACCGUAGUAAUUCUAGAGCUAAUACAUAUAAACCAAAGCCUUUGGAAAAAUUUAUUUUUUUUCAGGGGUUGCAUUUAUUAGAUGUAAAACCGAUUGACUUGAAUUUAUUCAAGUGUUUAAGCGAAAUGGUGAUUCAUGAUAACUAAGCGAAUCGAAUUAAAGAAAUUUGGAAGGUCUCUCACGGCCUUUCAAGUUUUUUCGAUGCUUCAUUCAAAUUUCUGCCCUAUCAGCUUUCGAUGGUAGGAUAUUGGCCUACCAUGGCGAUAACGGGUAACGGGGAAUCAGGGUUCGAUUCCGGAGAGGGAGCUUGAGAAAUGGCUACCACAUCCAAGGAUGGCAGCAGGCGCGCAAAUUACCCAAUCCCAAUACGGGGAGGUAGUGACAAUAAAUAACAAUGUUGGAAUAUUUUAAAAAUUCCAACAAUUGGAAUGAGAGUAAUUUAGACCUCUUCUCGAGGAACCAUUGGAGGGCAAGUCUGGUGCCAGCAGCCGCGGUAAUUCCAGCUCCCAUAGCGUAUGUUAAAGUUGUUGCAGUUAAAAAGCUCGUAGUCUAAAUUCAAAGUCUUUAUGGAAAUGUUGUCUCUUUCUUUUGUGUGAUUUGGUUUUUUCUUUUUUGGAAUUUUUUUCCAAGAUUUUUAGAUUAAACCCCAUAUUGAAUUAGACAUCCUUUGCUUGUACUUUGGAAAACUUUAUUCAUAAUUUGCUGCAAUUUAUGAGUAAAUUCAGUGUUCCAAUUGUUUACUUUGAGAAAACUAGAGUGUUCAAAGCAGGCGAAAUUAAAAUUUCUCUCGCAACUGAAUACAUUAGCAUGGGAUAAUAGAAUAGGACAUUGGGGAGAGGAUUUCUCUAUAUAUUUCACUUUUUGUGAAGUAUGUGUUAAAAGAGCCUCUUCUUUGGUCCUAUUAUGUUUUUGAUCGGUGGUUCAAGACCAAUGUAAUGAUUAAUAGGAACGGUGGGGACAUUCAUAUUGCAUGGCUAGAGGUGAAAUUCUUGGAUUCAUGCAAGAUGAACUGCUGCGAAAGCGUUUGUCAAAGACGUUUUCAUUGAUCAAGAACGAAAGUUAGGGGAGCAAAGACGAUCAGAUACCGUCGUAGUCCUAACUAUAAACGAUGCCGACUAGGGAUCGGUGGGCGUUAAUAUAAAAUUGUUAGAGUCUAGCUUUUUUGUAAGAAUUCUUUUCUUUCAAAAGAGCUUUUCUAACAAGAAAUGACCCCAUCGGCACCUCAAUUUGAUACUUCUCAAUGGGAAACCAAAGUUUUUGGGUUCCGGGGGGAGUAUGGUCGCAAGGCUGAAACUUAAAGGAAUUGACGGAAGGGCACCACCAGGAGUGGAGUUUGCGGCUUAAUUUGACUCAACACGGGAAAACUCACCAGGCCCAGACAUGGUAAGGAUUGACAGAUUGAGAGCUCUUUCUUGAUUCCAUGAAAGGUGGCGCAUGGCCGCUCUUAGUUGGUGGAGUGAUUUGUCUGGUUAAUUCCGUUAACGGACGAGACCUUGGCCUGCUAACUAGGGGGGGUUAUCGUUUGGAUGAGUUUAAUAGAGUUAGUGAGGUUUUGGUUUUACCUUUCGGGGUAAUUCUAAGCCUUCUGACUGUUAUUGCUUGUUCAUAUUUUGCGAUAGCACCUAAGAUUUAAAAAAUCCUUCAACCCUUCUUUGGCUUAAGGGGAAGAGAGAUUGAGGAUUUUUUUGGAUUUAUUUUCAGAUUAGUCUUUUCUUUCUCACUUAAAUCUUUUCUUUUUGUUGGAGAAGGAAAAAUCCUUCUUAGAGGGACUAUCUGCGUUUUUACAACUAGCAGAUGGAAGCUCGAGGCAAUAACAGGUCUGUGAUGCCCUUAGAUGUCCUGGGCUGCACGCGUACUACACUGACGAAUUCAACAAGUGAUUAAAUUUGGUGAUGGUUACUUGCUUGUUUUCUCCUUCGGGAGGGAAUAGGGAAAGGACUAUCAAAAACCUUGGCAGAAAUGUCUGGGUAAUCUCUUCAAAGUUCGUCGUGCUAGGGAUAGAUGAUUGUAAUUAUUCGUUUUGAACGAGGAAAUCCUAGUAAGUGUG